GACGAACGCUGGCGGCGUGCCUAAUACAUGCAAGUUGAGCGCUGAAGGUUGGUACUUGUACCAACUGGAUGAGCAGCGAACGGGUGAGUAACGCGUGGGGAAUCUGCCUUUGAGCGGGGGACAACAUUUGGAAACGAAUGCUAAUACCGCAUAAAAACUUUAAACACAAGUUUUAAGUUUGAAAGAUGCAAUUGCAUCACUCAAAGAUGAUCCCGCGUUGUAUUAGCUAGUUGGUGAGGUAAAGGCUCACCAAGGCGAUGAUACAUAGCCGACCUGAGAGGGUGGUCGGCCACAUUGGGACUGAGACACCGCCCCAACUCCUACGGGAGGCAGCAGGAGGGAAUCUUCGGCAAUGGACGGAAGUCUGACCGAGCAACGCCGCGUGAGUGAAGAAGGUUUUCGGAUCGUAAAACUCUGUUGGUAGAGAAGAACGUUGGUGAGAGUGGAAAGCUCAUCAAGUGACGGUAACUACCCAGAAAGGGACGGCUAACUACGUG
Molecule: ribosomal RNA, 497 nt
Filed under: uncultured bacterium
Lineage: Bacteria
Description: partial 16S ribosomal RNA
Rfam family: Bacterial small subunit ribosomal RNA
Source: RNAcentral